This 223-nucleotide ribosomal RNA is filed under the name uncultured bacterium. Its description in RNAcentral is "partial 16S ribosomal RNA". It matches the Rfam family "Bacterial small subunit ribosomal RNA", at positions 328 to 539 of the family's 1533-position model. The record is from RNAcentral.
ACGCUCGACACCUACGGGAGGCAGCAGUAGGGAAUCUUCCACAAUGGACGCAAGUCUGAUGGAGCAACGCCGCGUGAGUGAAGAAGGUCUUCGGAUCGUAAAACUCUGUUGUUAGAGAAGAACACGAGUGAGAGUAACUGUUCAUUCGAUGACGGUAUCUAACCAGCAAGUCACGGCUAACUACGUGCCGGCAGCUGCGGUAAUCUGAGCGGGCUGGCAAGGC